GUCUUUCAUCACAGAAGUUAUGUGUGUUUGAUGUGAUUUUUCAGAGUACAGAUGUCACUGCAAAGCGAACGGCAGUCCUCCGUGGCCUUCCUGUCAUCCUUGGAGAUGAGAACACAGAGUUCUUCAAGACAUGCAUUGACUGCGAUGACCCAGCUGUGUCUCACAACCCCAGUGGAAUCCUGACCAUAACUCCUGAGGGUGAGCAGAUCUGCCUUGACUCGCUGCACCUUCAGUCUUCAGGUACCGCCAUCAUAUUGGAAGGAAUAAUUGUGAUGGAUGACCUUGAAAAUAUUCCACAUGCCAUGUGUUUGCUCUUUGGACUUACAUAUGCCUUGAAUUUGGAGUACCCACAACAACUGAAGAACACCUUUGACUUCAUUCAAAGGCUUUUUCUCUCACUUGGAUAGAAAUAGCUGAAACCAAAAAUACAGUCCCUCAAAAAUCUUCUGAUGCCAUGAGUGAAUGUUAUCACAGUGUUAAUGUGAGGUGACUGGGCAACAUUGAUACCUUUACUGGAAAAGUGACAUUACUUUCCCGUUCGAUCAGUUUUUGUGGGAGGGAGCCUCAUUGCCCUGUCAGACUACUGAAUGUUUUCAUGUUCUCAAGGAGAAACACAAACACUACUUACCGUUGAGGUUUUGUUUUUCCUUUUGUGUUGUUGCUCAUACAGUUGUUAGAUUGAAUACCAGCACCAGGUUCUUUAGCCACUUGUCUCUGACUUAUUAUCUGACGUUGACUUAUUCAUCCACUAAUUUAAAUCAGAAAGCUAAGCCGUUUUGAGUGGGGGCUGUCUCAAACAUAAGAAUCACAGUUGCGCAUUCAGUUGAAAUUGUGAUUUUAUUUUGCUGUCAUUUAACUGGAUUGUAAACAGAGUUGAGCAAUAUUUGCUAUUCACUUUAUUGAUGUUAGGAUGAAUGUUUGGCUCUUAAAUUGACCUCUGAGUUUGUGUAUUGUUCAUACCAUAGUCAACAGAGAUGUUUUUUCAGGGAUUCUCAAAGUGUGACUGAUUUAGGGCUCUUUUAAGGACUCAAUGCUAGAUUAAAG
Molecule: long non-coding RNA, 1044 nt
Organism: Salarias fasciatus (jewelled blenny)
Lineage: Eukaryota; Metazoa; Chordata; Actinopteri; Blenniiformes; Blenniidae
Exons: 2
Source: RefSeq, a predicted model, not a curated record